This 251-nucleotide ribosomal RNA is filed under the name uncultured prokaryote. Its description in RNAcentral is "partial 16S ribosomal RNA". It matches the Rfam family "Bacterial small subunit ribosomal RNA", at positions 525 to 775 of the family's 1533-position model. The record is from RNAcentral.
ACGUAGGUGACAAGCGUUAUCCGGAAUUACUGGGCGUAAAGCGCACGCAGGUGGUUUUGCAAGUCUGGCGUGAAAUCUCCUGGCUUAACCAGGAGCGGUCGCUGGAAACGGCAAGACUUGAGGCGAGGAGAGGGGUGCAGAAUUCCCGGUGUAGUGGUGGAAUGCGUAGAGAUCCGGAGGAACCCCGGUGGCGAAGGCGACUUGCUGGGCCUGAACUGACGCUCAGACGCGAAAGCAUGGGGAGCGAACGG